CCGAAUGUACAUGGCGGGGAAGCUGAACAUAUUUCAUCGCUUCGACAAACAGGUUCAAGGUGACCCUUGGAAGAUGCGCAUGAUGCAACUUCCUGGAUGGUGCUGAGCCUGUUUGUCAACAUGUGGAACCCACGUGUAUUUAGGGGAGUUGUCUCCCUUGUUAAAGAUCAACAAUGGCGGAUAAACAAUGCGGGAUGCUGUCUUGUCACCAACGGUGAAAUUUGACACCUGUAUACCCGUAUUUCAAUCAACAGUCUCAGUCCUCGUUGUUGUGUACAUCAGACAGAUGAUGGACCACUCUACUUCCUUUUACAACAGGUGCCCCUACAGAUUCACAAAGUUCCAAUGUUGAAUUUCCAUGACCCUGAUU
This is a long non-coding RNA of Magallana angulata, 370 nucleotides long. RefSeq lists it as uncharacterized. The record is from RefSeq and is a predicted model, not a curated record. The transcript has 4 exons. Lineage: Eukaryota; Metazoa; Mollusca; Bivalvia; Ostreida; Ostreidae.